RNAcentral lists this long non-coding RNA (995 nucleotides) under Elaeis guineensis (African oil palm). RNAcentral's name for it is "long non-coding RNA (EGUI_LNC002866)". Lineage: Eukaryota; Viridiplantae; Streptophyta; Magnoliopsida; Arecales; Arecaceae. The record is from RNAcentral.
UUCUAUUAUGUCACUAUUGAAAAUUAUGUUGCAGUCCUUUUUCUUAUCAGGGUGCAACUGGAUUCAUUUUCCACUUCCAACCUGGAACCAACACACAAAUGAUGAGAUCUGAUCCGAAACAAGAUCAUUUGGAUUAGGCUUGGAUUGAAAAGUAUAACCAUUUCAUAUAUGGAUCGAACAUGGAUCACCAAGUGAGCCUAUCUGAUUCCAAACCAACCAAAACUAAUAUAUUAUGUUUUUUAUGCUUGGAUUUAAGAAAAUAUUUUACUUUUACUAAUAGGUUCUCUGUAGUUUAUUGUCGAUAUAUGUUGUUGACAAUUAUUUAUAUGCUACCAACAGUUCGUCUUAUGUGGAAUGAGUUGAUAACAUCUACAAGUUGUUCAAUUAAUGUCUCCUUGCAUGAUAUUCUUAGGACAUAGUUAAGUAACUGAUUUAUACAUAAAUUUAGGACAUAGUUAAGUAACUGAUUUAUACAUAAAUCUUAUGGUUUGUGUUUGGAUUAAAAAAUGAAUUAAUUAAAUAAAAUAUCAAACAAAAGGACCCUGCCCGAAUGAAAUUGGAUCAAGCUUGGAUUCAAACUUCUUGCCAAAUUCAAAUGUGGAUUCGAUUUGGGUUUUGCAUAGCAACUAGCACAACCUGAUCCACUUGCAGCCCUAGUUCUCACACAUGCUAACAACUAUACAUGUCAUGAUCAAAGACACCCAAUGUUGUCAGGAUCAGGAUUAAGUUGUAAAGCAUUGAGUGGUUCAAAUUAGAUCAGAUCACGGAUCACAAGAUCAUGGCCCAUUUCAUUCAAAAAUACUAUGAAUAUAAAGGGAUGAAAAUUGUAAAAAUGAGUAUCUGUAAAGUAGAAAAAUGCAAAAUAGAAAGUCAUGAUUGUAAGUGGCCAAGUUUCCACCAUCAUAAGCCCACAUAUAGUAUGUCUAAUGAAACUAAAUCAUGUAAUGUCGAAUGAAACUAAAUCAUGUAUAACCAAACAAGACAUACAUCCAUAG